Molecule: ribosomal RNA, 500 nt
Filed under: uncultured bacterium
Lineage: Bacteria
Description: partial 16S ribosomal RNA
Rfam family: Bacterial small subunit ribosomal RNA
Source: RNAcentral
AUUGAACGCUGGCGGCAUGCCUUACACAUGCAAGUCGAACGGCAGCACGGGAGCAAUCCUGGUGGCGAGUGGCGAACGGGUGAGUAAUAUAUCGGAACGUGCCCAGUCGUGGGGGAUAACGCAGCGAAAGCUGUGCUAAUACCGCAUACGAUCUAUGGAUGAAAGCGGGGGACCGCAAGGCCUCGCGCGAUUGGAGCGGCCGAUAUCAGAUUAGCUAGUUGGUGGGGUAAAGGCCCACCAAGGCGACGAUCUGUAGCUGGUCUGAGAGGACGACCAGCCACACUGGAACUGAGACACGGUCCAGACUCCUACGGGAGGCAGCAGUGGGGAAUUUUGGACAAUGGGCGCAAGCCUGAUCCAGCAAUGCCGCGUGCAGGAUGAAGGCCUUCGGGUUGUAAACUGCUUUUGUACGGAACGAAACGGUGAGCUUUAAUACAGUUUGCUAAUGACGGUACCGUAAGAAUAAGCACCGGCUAACUACGUGCCAGCAGCCGCCGUAA